GAGUUUGAUCUUGGCUCAGAUUGAACGCUGGCGGCAUGCCUUACACAUGCAAGUCGAACGGCAGCACGGGAGCUUGCUCCUGGUGGCGAGUGGCGAACGGGUGAGUAAUGCAUCGGAACGUAUCCUGGAGUGGGGAUAACGUAGCGAAAGUUACGCUAAUACCGCAUAUUCUGUGAGCAGGAAAGCGGGGGACCUUCGGGCCUCGCGCUCUUGGAGCGGCCGAUGUCGGAUUAGCUAGUUGUGA
RNAcentral lists this ribosomal RNA (244 nucleotides) under bacterium enrichment culture clone ALO1_GLFRUDD03GNVHM. Its description in RNAcentral is "partial 16S ribosomal RNA". It matches the Rfam family "Bacterial small subunit ribosomal RNA", at positions 9 to 254 of the family's 1533-position model. The record is from RNAcentral.